CAGCAGCCGCGGUAAUACAGAAGAUGCUAGCGUUAUCCGGAAUGAUUGGGCGUAAAGGGUGCGUAGGCGGGUCUUUAAGUCAGGGGUGAAAUCCUGGAGCUCAACUCCAGAACUGCCUUUGAUACUGAAGAUCUUGAGUUCGGGAGAGGUGAGUGGAACUGCGAGUGUAGAGGUGAAAUUCGUAGAUAUUCGCAAGAACACCAGUGGCGAAGGCGGCUCACUGGCCCGAUACUGACGCUGAGGCACGAAAGCGUGGGGAGCAAACAGGAUUAGAUACCCCUGUAGUCCCUGUCUUUAUACA
Molecule: ribosomal RNA, 301 nt
Filed under: uncultured bacterium
Lineage: Bacteria
Description: partial 16S ribosomal RNA
Rfam family: Bacterial small subunit ribosomal RNA
Source: RNAcentral